RNAcentral lists this ribosomal RNA (440 nucleotides) under uncultured bacterium. Its description in RNAcentral is "bacterial SSU rRNA". It matches the Rfam family "Bacterial small subunit ribosomal RNA", at positions 338 to 795 of the family's 1533-position model. The record is from RNAcentral.
CCUACGGGUGGCAGCAGUGGGGAAUAUUGGACAAUGGGCGCAAGCCUGAUCCAGCAAUGCCGCGUGAGUGAUGAAGGCCUUAGGGUUGUAAAGCUCUUUUACCCGGGAUGAUAAUGACAGUACCGGGAGAAUAAGCCCCGGCUAACUCCGUGCCAGCAGCCGCGGUAAUACGGAGGGGGCUAGCGUUGUUCGGAAUUACUGGGCGUAAAGCGCACGUAGGCGGCUUUGUAAGUUAGAGGUGAAAGCCCGGGGCUCAACUCCGGAAUUGCCUUUAAGACUGCAUCGCUAGAAUUGUGGAGAGGUAAGUGGAAUUCCGAGUGUAGAGGUGAAAUUCGUAGAUAUUCGGAGGAACACCGGUGGCGAAAGCGACUUCCUGGUUCGUUCCUGACGCUGAGGUACGAAAGCCAGGGGAGCAAACGGGAUUAGAUACCCUGGUAGUC